UACGAAGGGCGCUAGCGUUGUUCGGAAUCACUGGGCGUAAAGCGCACGUAGGCGGAUUUGUCAGUCAGGGGUGAAAUCCCGGGGCUCAACCUCGGAACUGCCUUUGAUACAGCAAGUCUUGAGUUCGAGAGAGGUGGGUGGAAUUCCUAGUGUAGAGGUGAAAUUCGUAGAUAUUAGGAAGAACACCGGUGGCGAAGGCGGCCCACUGGCUCGAUACUGACGCUGAGGUGCGAAAGCGUGGGGAGCAAACAGG
This 253-nucleotide ribosomal RNA is filed under the name uncultured bacterium. Its description in RNAcentral is "partial 16S ribosomal RNA". It matches the Rfam family "Bacterial small subunit ribosomal RNA", at positions 524 to 776 of the family's 1533-position model. The record is from RNAcentral.